This 441-nucleotide ribosomal RNA is filed under the name uncultured bacterium. RNAcentral describes it as "bacterial SSU rRNA". It matches the Rfam family "Bacterial small subunit ribosomal RNA", at positions 338 to 795 of the family's 1533-position model. The record is from RNAcentral.
CCUACGGGAGGCAGCAGUGGGGAAUAUUGCACAAUGGGGGAAACCCUGAUGCAGCAACGCCGCGUGAGCGAUGAAGGCCUUCGGGUCGUAAAGCUCUGUCCUAAGGGAAGAAUACUGACGGUACCUUAGGAGGAAGCCCCGGCUAACUACGUGCCAGCAGCCGCGGUAAUACGUAGGGGGCAAGCGUUAUCCGGAAUCACUGGGUGUAAAGGGUGCGUAGGCGGUAGGGCAAGUCAGAUGUGAAAGCCCGGGGCUCAACCCCGGGACUGCAUUUGAAACUGUCUUACUAGAGCGCAGGAGAGGAAAGCGGAAUUCCUAGUGUAGCGGUGAAAUGCGUAGAUAUUAGGAAGAACACCAGUGGCGAAGGCAAUCCCCUGGACCUGUACUGACGCUCAUGCACGAAAGCGUGGGGAGCAAACAGGAUUAGAUACCCUAGUAGUC